This is an RNA transcript of Larimichthys crocea (large yellow croaker), 10159 nucleotides long. It is a transcript of the gene named helicase with zinc finger 2b, with no coding region annotated. The record is from RefSeq and is a predicted model, not a curated record. The transcript is spliced from 21 exons. NCBI's taxonomy places the organism in Eukaryota, Metazoa, Chordata, Actinopteri, Sciaenidae.
CGCACUGAUCACAUGCGCUCCGGUUCAGGGAGGGGACAAGACGCUGCGCGAUCACCGUUGAUGUUGAUCAGCCGGUGUCACGUUCAGGGGACCAAGCGGAGGACAGCAGUCACUCUCUGCAACAUUACAACCUUUGAUGUUCUGCCAGUCUGACGGCAAAUUCUAUCUGGACAUUUCUCUGGCCUUCAUGUCGCUAUAGAUAAGGUUAGUUACUCCCUUAGUUAAUUAGACUAAAUCUGGGUCUAUUGUGACUGACUGCAGCCUGAAAAUGCUAAACUGAAAUAAUAUACUUUUGGGAUGAAUUGCUCAAGCCUUGUGCGCAUUCCUACAAUCUACAAGGCCAUUAAACAUUUUCCUGGAUGCUGGUGCUGACUUAAGCACUAUGAAUGUAUCACAAUGUCAGCUAGCAGGUCCAAACUGGCUCCUCUUUUAUCAACACAUGACCUCAAACUUGUAUGCAGUAAGUGCUCUGUCAAGGAGAGAGAAAUUACGUAUAUGUUAAAAUCCGUCCACCACCAGUGUGCACGCGAUUUCCUGCUCUGCAAAGCCAAGGGUGGCAGAAAAUGGAGGCCUAUUUCUAGGCGGCCCAUGUUUCCAAGCCCAAGUCGGUAUGAGGUAUGUUACCACUUUGUGGAGGACCUUGGUUGCACAGUCCACAAGAACCGGUGUACUUUUGCCAGAAGUGAUGAGGAAGCUGCUGUGUGGACAUUUGAAAAGCAUCACAAAUUAGACCAUGUGGUUCUCUGUGAUCUUAUAACUCAGUCUGAGAGAGGAUCUGAUCAGCCUGACAACUCUGCACCUCAAGGGGAUGUUUUGGCAACUCUAGAUUUGAAGGCUGUGUGUGAUCUGUGUUCUGUCAAGAAGAAGGAAAUAACAUACACAGUUCAGUCAGUCAGUCACAAGUGCAGCAGAAAUCUGCUUUUAGCCAAAGCCAAAGCCUCAAACCAAUGGAGGCCUGUCUCUGAGCCUCCUCAAUGUGAACGUUUUGGUAAAAAUGUUCUUUACCAAAAGUGCAACUUUUUUGUUGAGGGCUUUGGAUGUACACAGCAUGGAGAGGCAUGCACCUAUGCCAGAAGCUGCGAAGAGGCUGCUGUAUGGAACUAUGUCAGGGACAAGAAAAUUGAUAAAAAUCAAUUGCUCAGCCUUGUAAUUGAAAGAGAGCCUAUUCCAACACCAGAAAGCGCAGCUAAAAGCAUGCUUAAGCAGUUUUCAGGUAAAUUCAUUGAGCUCUGCAAAGACUGCUUUCAUGAUCGCCCACAAAUAUUGACAGCUAAACGGUGGAACGAAACUUGCUCAGCAGAUGCAGCGCACCCCUGGGAUCCAGUCUUAGUACAUCACCUAUCAGAGUAUAAUGGAAAGCAAAUCUACAGCCAGGUGCGCCCCCUCCCCCCGAACUGUCAGUUUAAGUACUGCAGUCAUGUCUGGCAAGGUAUGCCCUGUUGGCAUGAGGCCAGCCACUGCCAGUCUGCCCAGAGCGAGGUGGAGAUGGCCGUGUGGAAAGCGGAGCACAGCGGACUCUCAGUUCCGCCUCAUCUCCUUCAGUUGAGUGAGCCGGAACAGACGCAGACCAGACAGGUCGCCAUGUACUGCAAAGUUUGCCUCCUGUCCCUGUCCUCCCCAGAGAGCUUCUACAAGCACUGCUCCUCUUUGGAGCAUGCCCAGUUACUUUCUGAGGACACCACCACCAAGUGGAGAGGACGACAGCCUCCACACAACCUCCAAGCUGAUUUAUGGCUCUGUGAAAGACCACAAACUUGUGAGUACGGCAGUAAGUGCCCAAAAGCUCAUUCUGUGGAAGAACUGCAGGAGUGGAUGAUGCGUGCUGCAGAAGAGAAGAAGAUCAGACAUAGCAUUGAAGCCCAGGGUCUCAUGUGCUAUAAUGAAAGACUCUUGGAGGAAUACAGAAACAGCAGUAAUGAAGUGCCUGUUUUAUCAGAACAAGUUGACGACGUCAGGAUCUCUUGUGAUGAAGAUUUAACUGUGACGUGUGAACAGAACAAUACAACACUGCAAUGGAACUUCCAAAUUGAAACAGAGAGACAGCUUGUGCAUGUGGCACUGUUGAAGCAAGAACCAGGAGCUUCUUUCACCCUUGGUGACAUCAGUUCUGUACCCUGCAUCUACUCCUCAGGUGAACACUUUCACAGUGAUGACAUGACCUAUGACAUCACCGUGUCUUUCACAUGCAUCAACCCGGGCCUCUAUGAACAGUGGUUAGUGCUAGAUUUUGACAUGAGACCAGUGCUUGUGAGGAAAUUUAGAGUAAGAGUUGGCCAGCUGUCAUUGGAUGACACUGAAGAACAGACUGAGAACCGUGGAGCCAACUUUCAUAGUGUUGAGCGAUGGCAUCGAGGGAACAGGGUGAUCAUCCCAGGUUCCUCCAGGACAGAAGAACACGAGGAGCUAUUAAAGGAGUACAAGCCCCCUCAGAUUAAUAUUCAGUAUAAAUCCUCCUACAACAGCCAAACACCUCUGAAUAACGAGAACUACAAAGAAAGAAUGCACCACUUCCUGUACAAUGAAGAAUGGGCAGAGGACCAGAUUGUUUCAAGACUCAAUGUUUGUGGAGAAAUUACAACACUGGAUAGUACACAGUUUGGCAUGACAGAAGCACCUGGGGGACUGUUCUGUACUGUCUCAAUUCCUUAUAGCCUCACACCAGACACCCCUGAGGGACAGGCACUAAAACGAAGCAUCCAGUCUGCCUUGAUAGCCCCUUCAAGUGGUCAAAACUCAAGGGUCUAUGAAGCCACCAUCCUGAAAGACAAAACAAGUGAGCACAAAAUGUACUUGCAUCUGUCCAAAAAAUGUUGCUCUGAUCUUCUUCUCCAAAGCAAUGAAUCGUAUCGAAUGGAGGUACAGUUUCAGCUGAACCGCCACAGCUUCUGCACCAUGCAUAAGGCAGUCGACCUCCUACCUGAUACAAAAAGAGUGUUACCAGACCUUAAAAACUGUGGAGUUCCUGUGAAUGACAUGCUUUAUGAGCAGCUGAAUACAAAGCAGCCGAAUACAAAGCAGAAGUUAGCAAUUGACUUUAUCACUGGGAAUUCCAGUGGCCAAAAAUUUGUGGCGCCACUCCUCAUUUAUGGACCAUUUGGAACUGGGAAAACAUUUACUCUUGCUACAGCAGCCAGAGAGCUUUGUAAGCAGCCUAACAACAAAGUGCUCAUUUGCACCCACACCAACAGUUCUGCAGAUCUGUACAUCAGAGUACAUUUCCAUCCCUUCAUCAAGAAACAUGUUGGAAUGAAGCCAAUUCGAAUGAAAGCAAACAAACAAGGGAAUGCUUUGUCUGCCACAGAUGACAUUACUUUGAAUUACUGUUUUCUUUCGGAAGAUAGAAAGUAUUUUCUACCACCUACAAAAGCUGCCCUAGAUCGCCACAAUAUAAUCAUUACCACAACAACAAUGGCAAGAUCUUUUCAUGACCUAAAACUCCCAGAGGGAUACUUCACCCACAUACUAAUUGAUGAAGCCUCUCAGAUGCUAGAAUGUGAGGCCUUGAUGGCCCUUGGUCUUGCUGGGCCAAACACCAGAGUUGUUUUGGCUGGAGAUCACAUGCAAAUGGGACCCAAACUUUUCUCAGUUGACGACCAUCACCGUUCAAAUCACACACUCCUUAAUCGUUUGUUCCACUACUACCAAGGCCAAAAUUGUGAUGCUGCCCAGAACAGUAGAAUCAUAUUCAGUGAAAACUACCGCUCAACCAAAGAGAUUGUGGAGUUUGUGUCCACCCAUUUCUACGUUGGUAAGAAUGAUAUUAUCACAGCUACUGGAGAAAUUCCGGCUCCUGAAAAUGGCCAUGCCCUAAAGUUUCACCAUGUUAGGGGAGAGUGUCUCUUGGACACUGUGUCAGUGUCUUGGUAUAACACAGAAGAGGUUUCCAAAGUGGUUGAAGAAGUCAGAGCGAUUCUCCAACACUGGCCAUCGACCUGGGGUACCAAGGACCAAAGCUCAAUCUGCAUUCUAUCAGAGGGAGUUCAGGUUCGGCAAAUUAGGAGGGCGCUUUCGAGAGGAGGCCUACCUAAAGUUCACGUUGAGAAUCUUGCAAAUGUGCAAGGCAAAGAGUUCAGGGCAGUCAUAAUGACAGCUGUCCAAACACGUGACAGCCUAAACACGUCUCAUCUGCCUGGUCUGGAGCUCUUUAAUGAUGCCCGUGUGUUAAACACUGCGAUGACUAGGGCUCAGUCUCUCGUGGUUGUGGUUGGAGAUGCUGCUGCUCUCUGUUGCUUUGGGAAAUGCUCAGGAGUCUGGAAAAGCUACACAGACCACUGCAUUAGCAACAACAGUGUGGCACCACAGCAUUUUACCAAAGAUUUCUUUGAAAAAGAUGUUAAAGAAACGGCAAGGUUUCAAAAGUCUGAACAUCUGGAUGAAAGCAAAAUUCUCACUGAUGCUAUUCUUCAAGAGUUGAAAGAUGAAUAUGAACAGCUAAAAGAAAACACUUUAGAUGAAGACAAUUUGGAACAUGAAGACUUUGAUCACCACAAGCUAAGAUCAUCAAACAGUGUCACUGAUGUUUGCACAGACCUUUUGGUAUUGUGUAAAAAACAGCCAGAGAUUUACAAGCAAGGAAAGUUGGUGAGGGAGACCUAUAACAGAGGUUAUGUCAUACCAUUUCAAAACCCCACCAAACGUAUAAGCAUUACAGGAAGGGAAAACCUGCGUAUGGUCUUCACUGGAGAUGAAGUGGUCAUAAACACUGGACGUGUGGUCAGCAUCACCAAAGAAGUGGAAUCAGCCCGUGUACUUGUGUGUCUGCUUGAGGAUGAAGAUCACAGCAAACCAAGACAGAAUUCUGAAGACCAAUUUGUCAAAAGAACAAUGGUGCCCAUCACAAAAUCUGCACCCAAAAUACGCAUACUGAUCAGCAAGAAAAGACGCAACUUUCUUCCUAUAUGGGAGAAAAUUAAUGGACAGUGGACAGUUGCAACACAUAAACAUAUCGAUGAAAACCUCACACAGAACAAUGUAUUUAUCGUGCAAGUGAUUGGUUGGAAAAAACAUUGUUCUAUUCCAUUGGGAAAUGUCAUAGAUAUUCUUCCAGUUGGAACAUCCUUGAAUGAUGGACAAAGGAUCCUGAAAGAAGAAUUUAAAGUUGCACCCCCUACAUCAGGUGAGGGUUUCUCCAUCACAGAAGAAGACAUCACAUCCAGACUGGACAUGCGUGAAGUAAUCACUUUCACUAUUGAUCCAGAAGGAGCAAAAGUGUUGGAUGAUGCCAUCAGUGUAAAGGAAAUUGGAGAUCACUAUGAGCUGGGAGUCCAUAUUGCAGAUGUGGCAAGCUAUGUGAGUCCAGGUAGUAAAUUUGAUGAGGAUGCAAAACAGCAUGGUACUGCAUAUCACGGCAGUGGUGAAAACACCAUUCAUAUGUUUGACCUAGACUUGAGCACUAAACACUUCAGUCUCCUGCAAAAUCAAGAUCGCAGGGUGGUUUCAUUAAUGUUCGAAGUAAACAAGCAAACAAAUAAGAUCAUUGGAGAACCCAAAUUCCAGCUGUCACUUAUUAAGUCUAAUAGGCAAUUCUCUUAUGAAGAGGCUGAGGACAUUAUCUCCACAAGAUAUAGAGAGAGACCUAAUUUUGACACAGUAGAAGACUGUGUCACAGUGGCCUAUUGUUUUGCAAAAGCUCAAAGGAAGAAUAGACUUGUGGAUUGGGCUUAUUCUCAACCUGAUGAUAAGAGAUUGCCCGGACAUCGCAAAGCCCAUCUCAUGGUUGAAGAGCUGAGUGUGUUAUUCAAUACACUUGCAUCAGAGAGAUUGAUUGAAUCAGAAAAAACCAGGUAUCUCACACCACUUCGCUGUCAGGAGAGUCCAGAUCCUGAAAAAAUAGAAGAAUUAAGAGAGAAGAAAAGUGCAGAAUUAAUACCACUGUCUUUCCAACUGCGGCACAAAGUUGUCCCUGUGGAACAAGCCCCAAACUAUGAAAAUUUCCCCAUACUUACAAAAGUGUGGAGAGAUAUCCUGUCAGCUGCCAAGGCAGAUGAUAUAGACAGUAUGGUGGACCUGAUUGCUGCAGAUGACAUCUACCCUCUCCUGCAACCACUCAUUGAUCAGUUCAGAAGGUGCUCUAGAAAAGCUUCUAUCAUCCGUUCCAACCUGUCCAAAGCAGGCCAUGGGCAUUAUUCUCUGAACGUAAGAUCUUACACACUAGCAUCCUCACCAAUACGGCGGUACAUGGACAUUAUCUUGCAAAGACUUUUGCACUCCAUCAUAUGUAACAAGGAUGUCCAAUACACUCGAACAGAGAUUUUGACUUUGUGCAGUCAGUUUGAUGACAACAUCAAGAAUGCCAAGGAGUAUGAACAAAAGCUUGAGCAGAUAUCCUAUGCAGUGACCAUGAAACAUCAGAGUGCUUCAAAGUUAGCCUUUGUUGUAAUUGUGGAACCCAACAACGAUAGUUUUGCAGUGUCGUUUCCUUUUAACAAGAACAUAUUUGCAGCGAGUUUAGCAAUUAUGUACAAAGAGUUACAAUUGUGCGACCAACCACUGUAUGACAAAGAAAAUCACUGUGUUACUCUUAAAUGGAAAAGGCGGAUCUACACAGUUGACACCAAGAAUAUCUACCAAGAACUGAAAAUACCAAACCGUGGUCGCUGUGUUGAGCUUCCUCUGAAAAUAUGGAGAGACACUGUUGAAGCAAUUGACAAUGAAAAGUGGGAUCAUGCAAAGUUUCUCAUAAUGGGUGCUAAUGUCUCUGAGGUACAAGAGGUGCCUCAUGACCGUUCUGUAGGACAUGAGGUUGACAUGAGCCUCCAGUUGCAAACAGGUGACAUCCUUCAGGUCCAAAUGACAUCAGAGUUAAAACGAGGUUAUCACAUGCCUGCUGUUCAGUUGGUGCACAUCAAUCCAAACUUUGAGAUUUGUGUGGACCAUGUCCACAACCCUAUCACAUGCUUCUCUAGAUCUACAGAUGCUCCAUCAAGGAAUUAUUAUAGUGACACAGAGGAGUAUGUACAGAUCUGGAAACCAAUGUGUGAGAUGGAAUCUGCUGCCACUGCAGUGGAUGAAAGUGACAGCAUAGUCAUUGAGAGCCUGGUGGUAAACUUCAAUCAAGAGCAGGAAGGCACACUAACAGGAAGCUUCUUCUUACCUCUGUCAUUGAUCAAUGAAUGGGCCAUUGAAUGUAACCUUUCAAAGUGCUUAUUGUGCAUACGGAAAAGAGGUUUGGAGUUGACGCCAAUCCCGGAACAUUCUGCACUUGUGGACCCAAGAGAGUUCAUAUGGGUCGCCCAUGGUGUCACAAGAAAAGUAGAAGAGAAAACUAAAACUCCAAAUGUAGGUAGUAAAGUGGAUUUCUAUGUCAAUCACCUGCCAAUGGCGAACAUCCCGAAAUGUGUCUUCGAGAGAAACACUUCUUUCACAGUUGAAAUAAUCCCAAAGCUCCUGCCAGACAUCCGGAAAGAAUAUGCUGUGGUCAAUGUUGCAUCUGAAUCUACAUGUAAGCUUGUCAAGAAUAUAGCACUUGGACAAGGAAUUCCAAGAGAGGUAAAAAACAUGUGGAACCCAGUGAGGAAAGAGCCCCCAUAUGGACUGCCAGAGCUUAACCCGAGUCAGCGUUCUGCUGUGGAAAAAGCUAUAAAUACUAGCUUCACACUUAUACAGGGACCUCCUGGAACUGGAAAGACGAUAGUAGGUGUGUACAUUGUGUCUCAUUUCUUGGAGCUGAACUCGAAGAACCCAAGGAAAGUAUGUCACCCAAAGGAUAAGAACAAGAAAGAAGUUAUUCUCUACUGCGGUCCAUCCAACAAGUCUGUUGAUGUGGUUGCAGAGUACCUGCUAAAGUUAGGGAAUAGCAUAAAGCCCCUCAGGGUCUACAGCCAACAAGUGGAGAUGCUUGAUUACCCGUAUCCAGACUGCACCAUUCAGUUUUCCCAGAGAAGUCUCCGCCAAGAGCAUUCCAAACCAGAGCUCAGGAGCAUCACUCUGCAUCACCGCAUGCGAGAGGAUCAAAAUCCUUUUUCAAGUCAAAUAAAAGAUUUUGACCGACGCAUUGAACUUGCACAAAAGAAGAAAGAAGUAAAACUUGAAAUUGAGAAAAAAGUACAGCUCCUAUGCGUUCAACUUGAUCUUAAGGAAAAAGAAGAGCCCCUACCCAUUCAACUUGUUCUUGAGGAAAUAGAAGAGCUCCGAUGCAUUCAAUUUGGUCUUGAGGAAGAAAAAGAGGUCCAACGCAUUCAACUUGCCCUUGAAGAAAUAGAAAAGCUUCGAUACACUCAACCAGAACUUGAGAAAAUAGAGGAGCUGACUGCUGGUGAAGUGACAGAAUAUAAAAAACUUCUCAGAGAAGCUCGGACAUAUGAGCUUGAACGGCAUGACAUCAUACUGUGUACAUGUACACAGUCGUCCACCCCGAGUUUAACUAAGACAGUCAGCGCACGUCAGAUCCUCAUUGAUGAAUGUGCAAUGGCCACUGAACCCCAGGCCCUGAUUCCAUUAGUCUGCAACAACAACCCAGAAAAGAUUGUUUUGAUCGGUGACCACAAACAGUUACGACCAAUUGUGAAGAAUGUGCGUGUAAGGAAGUUGGGGAUAGGCAAGUCUCUGUUUGAACGCUACCAUAUGAUGCACAAGAAGAGGGCAGUGAUGCUGGACACCCAGUACAGAAUGCAUGAGGACAUAUGCGAGUUCCCAUCAAAUGCAUAUUACGAGGGGAUGCUGAAAACUGGGGUGGAGCAGCCGAACAGUGUCCUUCGCGUUGGUGACAAGACAAUGCCAAUCGUUUUUGGGGACAUCAAAGGAGAGACCGUCAGACUGGUUGUCAACACAGCCAAGGGCAACGAGAACUCUAAAGCAAACCAGGAAGAGAAAAACAAAGUGAUUGCCAUUGCUGAAAAGCUGGUGACCAGUGCCAAAAUUGAACAGAAAGGUAUUGUGAUUCUGUCACCCUAUAAUGCCCAAGUAUCAGAGAUCAAAGAGGCGCUGAAGAAGAAGAAGCUGGAGCAAAUCACCGUUACCACAAUCACCAAAAGCCAAGGAAGUGAAUGGAAUUACGUCAUCAUAUCUACAGUGUGCUCUCUGCCAAGUGAGAAGAUUGUGAGAGAACCCGAUGGCGGUUGGCUGUCCAAACAUCUGGGCUUCGUGGACGAUCCCAACCAGAUAAAUGUGGGCAUCACCAGAGCCAAGGAGGGACUGUGCAUCAUUGGAGACUUAGAGCUGCUCAACUGCGGUGGAUCCUGGAGGGAGCUCCUGAAACACUACAAGCUUCACAAUGCAGUGACAGAUGCAGACAAGAUUACAGUGUGUGCCAACUGAUCUCUAUCAUUUUAAUGAGACUCAGACAAGCAGCAUAUCAUAUGUAUGACUUCAUGAAAUCUGUAUAUAAAUAUUGCUUUUUCUAUAUUUCUCCAGUAUUUUUAUGUAUUCUUUUUACAGUUUUAUAGCAGAUUUUUGAUAUUGUAUUUGACACACUUGUUUUUGUCACUUCUCUUGAACAUGGAAGCACCUGUAAAUAGGAAAUCCUACAACUGUGUAUGGAAUUUGACCAUAAGAUGUGCUCAUGUUAAUGCAAACCUUCAGGUUCAAAGUCUGAACACUUCAAUUUGUUUUUUUGUAUUUUUCAUUUUAAAUAUUUUUAUGAAAUGUUGUAGGUUACAAUAACUUAAGUGUGGACAGCUGACAAAAGACAGAGUUCAGCUCUUGCUCUUGAUCUUUUAAUUUAUUUUUAAGUUUAGUUCAAAUGUAGAGAAACGCUUCCAAUGAUGAAUUGCUCCUGUCCACUGAUAAAUGAGUCAGCAUUCCUUUUCAUUGUACAGCUGAUAUUUGUGCAGCUUUUGAUGUUUUACCUCUUCUUAUUGUUUUUGAUACCUGUAAAUGUUCAGAUUAGUUUUGGCUACAUAAUUAUCCAUAAAGAAGUUGUAUUUUGUAAAAUGUUCAGUAAUCUUUGUUUUUUUAAAGUCUUACUACAUUCAAUGAUUUUAGUAGCCUAAAUGUGUGUGCAAAUGUAUGAAGAUAUUAAAAAUGAAGAAUUCAUAUUGAAUGUUUUGUUUUUUCAGUUGUAAAUAUGAAAUAUUGAAAGCUAGGUGAUUAGCUAUCUAAGUUAGCUAUUCUAAAUGUCACAUUAGCCAGGUCUCAUAAGAAUAGACAGAGUUUCAUAGCCUGUUCUUUUCAUCACUCUUCUAAGAAGAUCCUGACUCCAAUAAAGUGUGCUUUUUCGUUA